Molecule: ribosomal RNA, 456 nt
Filed under: Dysderidae sp. BAH_28365_G11
Lineage: Eukaryota; Metazoa; Arthropoda; Arachnida; Araneae; Dysderidae
Description: partial 16S ribosomal RNA
Rfam family: Bacterial large subunit ribosomal RNA
Source: RNAcentral
CUCUUUUAGACCUAAUUAAAAGUAAAGCCUGCUCAAUGAACUUUAAAUAGCCGCAGACCCUUCUGUGCUAAGGUAGCAUAAUCAUUUGCCUUAUAAUUUGAGGAUCGUACGAAUGGCUCAACGCAUUUAAUAUUGUAUCAAAACUAUAUUACUAAAUUAGAAUAAAAGUAAAAAUACUUUUAUACACAAGAAAGACGACAAGACCCUAUCGAACUUUACAUACGUUUAGCUGGGGCGGCUAACCAAUAAAAACUUCGUUCCUCCCCCCCAAACGAACCUGUUACAACAGAUCUAUGAACAAGUUACCGUAGGGAUAACAGCAUAAUUUCUUUUUGAAGCUCUUAUUUAAAAAGAAGCUUAUGACCUCGAUGUUGAAUUAGAAAACCCUUAUUACUUAAGCAAAAUUAAAUAAAGGAAGUCUGUUCGACUUUUAAAAUUCUACGUGAUCUGAGUUCA